This is a long non-coding RNA of Octodon degus (degu), 143 nucleotides long. RefSeq lists it as uncharacterized. The record is from RefSeq and is a predicted model, not a curated record. The transcript is spliced from 3 exons. NCBI's taxonomy places the organism in Eukaryota, Metazoa, Chordata, Mammalia, Rodentia, Octodontidae.
UCACAGGGGUGAGGAAUUGGAGGAGGAAUUGGGAGGGGUCGGCGCAUACAGAACAGGAACUCAGCGAGGUUAGAAGGGCAACAAAAUGAAGUCAAUUUGUCAGGGUAUAACACCCUUGAAUUUUAUGGAGGUAAAUCAAAUCA